AUUGAACGCUGGCGGCAGGCCUAACACAUGCAAGUCGAACGAGUGGCGGACGGGUGAGUAAUGUCUGGGAAACUGCCCGAUGGAGGGGUAUAACUACUGGAAACGGUAGCUAAUACCGCAUACCAUCGGAUGUGCCCCGAUGGGAUUAGCUUGUAGGUUAGGUAACGGCUCCCCUAGGCGACGAUCCCUAGCUUGUCUGAGAUGAUGACCAGGCACACGGGAACUGAGAAACGGGCAAGACGCCUACGGGAGGAAGCAGGGGGGAAUAUUGCACAAUGGGCGCAAGCCUGAUGCAGCCAUGCAGCGGGGAGGAAGAAGGCAUUCGGGUUGUAAAGGACUUUCAGCGGGGAGGCGUGACACGCAGAAGAAGAACCGGCUAACUCCGUGCCAGCAGACGCGGUAAUAC
RNAcentral lists this ribosomal RNA (406 nucleotides) under uncultured bacterium. Its description in RNAcentral is "partial 16S ribosomal RNA". It matches the Rfam family "Bacterial small subunit ribosomal RNA", at positions 29 to 526 of the family's 1533-position model. The record is from RNAcentral.